CCUUCUCACCCCCACGACCCAUUUACAGUUUUCAUAAAUCUUCUCCCCGUCGUCCCCGACCAUCCUUAAUCUUCUCCGGGAAUCUCUUCUUCACGGUUGUUGCUUCCUUGCUGGAAAUCUUUUCUCCGGGAACCCUAUCUGGAAAUCUCUUCAGACUUCUCUGGUAUUUAUUUGUUCAGCUUAUUUCUACAUAUUAUUUGGGUGAAAAGAAAAUCAUAAGAAAUGUUUAAUCAUGUUUAAUGUUUAUACAAAAAUCAAAUGAUCUCUCUCUUGCUAUCUUUCACAUGAUCGCUCUCUUUUAUAUACGUAGUUGAAGCAUGGUUUUCCAUCACGUAGUUGUCCAGGUGUGCCUUCUUUGAGAGAAGAAAAUGGGCACGCACCCAUGGUCAAGCCAUUUAUACCUGUUGAGAUGUAAUUAGGUAUUUGGGUUGCUUGACUAUAUAGUGCAAUUCAAUUAUGUACCAACAAUAAUAAUGUUCAUGAACAUAUUAUAUUAAUAACCUUAUUCCAUGUGCAAUACUAUUCCACCC
This 530-nucleotide long non-coding RNA is filed under the name Zostera marina. RNAcentral describes it as "long non-coding RNA (ZMAR_LNC004072)". Lineage: Eukaryota; Viridiplantae; Streptophyta; Magnoliopsida; Alismatales; Zosteraceae. The record is from RNAcentral.